GGACGAACGCUGGCGGCGUGCUUAACACAUGCAAGUCGAACGGAAAGGCCCUGCUUUUGUGGGGUGCUCGAGUGGCGAACGGGUGAGUAACACGUGAGUAACCUGCCCUUGACUUUGGGAUAACUUCAGGAAACUGGGGCUAAUACCGGAUAGGAGCUCCUGCUGCAUGGUGGGGGUUGGAAAGUUUCGGCGGUUGGGGAUGGACUCGCGGCUUAUCAGCUUGUUGGUGGGGUAGUGGCUUACCAAGGCUUUGACGGGUAGCCGGCCUGAGAGGGUGACCGGCCACAUUGGGACUGAGAUACGGCCCAGACUCCUACGGGAGGCAGCAGUGGGGAAUAUUGCACAAUGGGCGGAAGCCUGAUGCAGCAACGCCGCGUGCGGGAUGACGGCCUUCGGGUUGUAAACCGCUUUCGCCUGUGACGAAGCGUGAGUGACGGUAAUGGGUAAAGAAGCACCGGCUAACUACGUGCCAGCAGCCGCGGUGAUACGUAGGGUGCGAGCGUUGUCCGGAUUUAUUGGGCGUAAAGGGCUCGUAGGUGGUUGAUCGCGUCGGAAGUGUAAUCUUGGGGCUUAACCCUGAGCGUGCUUUCGAUACGGGUUGACUUGAGGAAGGUAGGGGAGAAUGGAAAUUCCUGGGUGGAGCGGUGGAAUGCGCAGAUAUCAGGAGGGAACACCAGUGGCGAAGGCGGUUCUCUGGGCCUUUCCUGACGCUGAGGAGCGAAAGCGUGGGGAGCGAACAGGCUUAGAUACCCUGGUAGUCCACGCUGUAAACGGUGGGUACUAGGUGUGGGGUCCAUUCCACGGGUUCCGUGCCGUAGCUAACGCUUUAAGUACCCCGCCUGGGGAGUACGGCCGCAAGGCUAAAACUCAAAGGAAUUGACGGGGCCCCGCACAAGCGGCGGAGCAUGCGGAUUAAUUCGAUGCAACGCGUAGAACCUUACCUGGGUUUGACAUGGAUCGGGAGUGCUCAGAGAUGGGUGUGCCUCUUUUGGGGUCGGUUCACAGGUGGUGCAUGGCUGUCGUCAGCUCGUGUCGUGAGAUGUUGGGUUAAGUCCCGCAACGAGCGCAACCCUUGUUCACUGUUGCCAGCACGUUAUGGUGGGGACUCAGUGGAGACCGCCGGGGUCAACUCGGAGGAAGGUGGGGAUGACGUCAAGUCAUCAUGCCCCUUAUGUCCAGGGCUUCACGCAUGCUACAAUGGCUGGUACAGAGAGUGGCGAGCCUGUGAGGGUGAGCGAAUCUCGGAAAGCCGGUCUCAGUUCGGAUUGGGGUCUGCAACUCGACCUCAUGAAGUCGGAGUCGCUAGUAAUCGCAGAUCAGCAACGCUGCGGUGAAUACGUUCCCGGGGCUUGUACACACCGCCCG
This 1365-nucleotide ribosomal RNA is filed under the name uncultured bacterium. RNAcentral's name for it is "16S ribosomal RNA". It matches the Rfam family "Bacterial small subunit ribosomal RNA", at positions 27 to 1396 of the family's 1533-position model. The record is from RNAcentral.